Molecule: ribosomal RNA, 310 nt
Filed under: uncultured bacterium
Lineage: Bacteria
Description: partial 16S ribosomal RNA
Rfam family: Bacterial small subunit ribosomal RNA
Source: RNAcentral
AAGAGACAGCAGUAGCCGCGGUAAUACGUAGGGUGCAAGCGUUAAUCGGAAUUACUGGGCGUAAAGCGUGCGCAGGCGGUUAUAUAAGUCAGAUGUGAAAUCCCCGGGCUCAACCUGGGAACUGCAUUUGAGACUGUAUGGCUAGAGUGUGUCAGAGGGGGGUAGAAUUCCACGUGUAGCAGUGAAAUGCGUAGAUAUUCGGAGGAACACCAGUGGCGAAGGCGGCUCACUGGUCCAUUACUGACGCUGAGGUGCGAAAGCGUGGGGAGCAAACAGGAUUAGAUACCCGAGUAGUCCCUGUCUCUUAUAC